UAGGGUUUGAUCCUGGCUCAGAUUGAACGCUGGCGGCAGGCCUAACACAUGCAAGUCGAGCGGAUGAAGGGAGCUUGCUCCUGGAUUCAGCGGCGGACGGGUGAGUAAUGCCUAGGAAUCUGCCUGGUAGUGGGGGAUAACGUCCGGAAACGGGCGCUAAUACCGCAUACGUCCUGAGGGAGAAAGUGGGGGAUCUUCGGACCUCACGCUAUCAGAUGAGCCUAGGUCGGAUUAGCUAGUUGGUGGGGUAAAGGCCUACCAAGGCGACGAUCCGUAACUGGUCUGAGAGGAUGAUCAGUCACACUGGAACUGAGACACGGUCCAGACUCCUACGGGAGGCAGCAGUGGGGAAUAUUGGACAAUGGGCGAAAGCCUGAUCCAGCCAUGCCGCGUGUGUGAAGAAGGUCUUCGGAUUGUAAAGCACUUUAAGUUGGGAGGAAGGGCAGUAAGUUAAUACCUUGCUGUUUUGACGUUACCAACAGAAUAAGCACCGGCUAACUUCGUGCCAGCAGCCGCGGUAAUACGAAGGGUGCAAGCGUUAAUCGGAAUUACUGGGCGUAAAGCGCGCGUAGGUGGUUCAGCAAGUUGGAUGUGAAAUCCCCGGGCUCAACCUGGGAACUGCAUCCAAAACUACUGAGCUAGAGUACGGUAGAGGGUGGUGGAAUUUCCUGUGUAGCGGUGAAAUGCGUAGAUAUAGGAAGGAACACCAGUGGCGAAGGCGACCACCUGGACUGAUACUGACACUGAGGUGCGAAAGCGUGGGGAGCAAACAGGAUUAGAUACCCUGGUAGUCCACGCCGUAAACGAUGUCGACUAGCCGUUGGGAUCCUUGAGAUCUUAGUGGCGCAGCUAACGCGAUAAGUCGACCGCCUGGGGAGUACGGCCGCAAGGUUAAAACUCAAAGGAAUUGACGGC
This 915-nucleotide ribosomal RNA is filed under the name uncultured bacterium. RNAcentral describes it as "bacterial SSU rRNA". It matches the Rfam family "Bacterial small subunit ribosomal RNA", at positions 1 to 917 of the family's 1533-position model. The record is from RNAcentral.